RNAcentral lists this ribosomal RNA (107 nucleotides) under Cavia porcellus (domestic guinea pig). The record is from RNAcentral. Lineage: Eukaryota; Metazoa; Chordata; Mammalia; Rodentia; Caviidae.
GUCUACAAUCAUAUCACACCAAAUGUGCUUAAUCUUGUUGGACCUUAAAAACUAAGCAGGUGUAGGCCUGGUUGUACCUAAGUGGGGAAAUUAUGUAUCAGUGAACA